Molecule: ribosomal RNA, 253 nt
Filed under: uncultured Eubacteriales bacterium
Lineage: Bacteria; Bacillati; Bacillota; Clostridia; Eubacteriales
Description: uncultured Clostridiales bacterium partial 16S ribosomal RNA
Rfam family: Bacterial small subunit ribosomal RNA
Source: RNAcentral
UACGUAGGGGGCAAGCGUUAUCCGGAUUUACUGGGUGUAAAGGGAGCGUAGACGGCGGGGCAAGUCUGGAGUGAAAGGCCGGGGCCCAACCCCGGGACCGCUCUGGAAACUGCCCGGCUGGAGUGCUGGAGAGGCAAGCGGAAUUCCUAGUGUAGCGGUGAAAUGCGUAGAUAUACGGAGGAACACCAGUGGCGAAGGCGGCCUGCUGGACAUUAACUGACGUUGAGGCUCGAAAGCGUGGGGAGCAAACAGG